This 484-nucleotide ribosomal RNA is filed under the name uncultured bacterium. RNAcentral describes it as "partial 16S ribosomal RNA". It matches the Rfam family "Bacterial small subunit ribosomal RNA", at positions 30 to 507 of the family's 1533-position model. The record is from RNAcentral.
AUUGAACGCUGGCGGCAGGCCUAACACAUGCAAGUCGAGCGGAUGAAGGGAGCUUGCUCCUGGAUUCAGCGGCAGACGGGUGAGUAAUGCCUAGGAAUCUGCCUGGUAGUGGGGGAUAACGUCCGGAAACGGGCGCUAAUACCGCAUACGUCCUGAGGGAGAAAGUGGGGGGUCUUCGGACCUCACGCUAUCAGAUGAGCCUAGGUCGGAUUAGCUAGUUGGUGGGGUAAAGGCCUACCAAGGCGACGAUCCGUAACUGGUCUGAGAGGAUGAUCAGUCACACUGGAACUGAGACACGGUCCAGACUCCUACGGGAGGCAGCAGUGGGGAAUAUUGGACAAUGGGCGAAAGCCUGAUCCAGCCAUGCCGCGUGUGUGAAGAAGGUCUUCGGAUUGUAAAGCACUUUAAGUUGGGAGGAAGGGCAGUAAGUUAAUACCUUGCUGUUUUGACGUUACCAACAGAAUAAGCACCGGCUAACUUCGUG